ACGGGAGGCAGCAGUGGGGAAUAUUGGGCAAUGGGGGAAACCCUGACCCAGCAACGCCGCGUGAAGGAAGAAGGCUUUCGGGUUGUAAACUUCUUUUAUCAGGGAAGAUAAUGACGGUACCUGAUGAAUAAGCCACGGCUAACUACGUGCCAGCAGCCGCGGUAAUACGUAGGUGGCAAGCGUUGUCCGGAUUUACUGGGUGUAAAGGGCGCGUAGGCGGAGCGGCAAGUCAGAUGUGAAAUCUAUGGGCUUAACCCAUAAACUGCAUUUGAAACUGUUCUUCUUGAGUGCUGGAGGGGCAAUCGGAAUUCCUUGUGUAGCGGUGAAAUGCGUAGAUAUAAGGAGGAACACCAGUGGCGAAGGCGGAUUGCUGGACAGUAACUGACGGUGAGGCGCGAAAGUGUGGGGAGCAAACAGGAUUAGAUACCCUGGUA
Molecule: ribosomal RNA, 434 nt
Filed under: uncultured Clostridium sp.
Lineage: Bacteria; Bacillati; Bacillota; Clostridia; Eubacteriales; Clostridiaceae
Description: partial 16S ribosomal RNA
Rfam family: Bacterial small subunit ribosomal RNA
Source: RNAcentral